Non-coding RNA from Camellia sinensis, 252 nucleotides. The record is from RefSeq and is a predicted model, not a curated record. Lineage: Eukaryota; Viridiplantae; Streptophyta; Magnoliopsida; Ericales; Theaceae.
GGCGGAUUAUAAUCCAGAUUAGUAUUUAUGGGAAGAGGAUUUUACUCUUGCGGGCACAAAGUACAAAAGACAGGACCUUGAGGCAACUAAGGAAUCAAAGAGGCCACACCUUGUAAUGCAGUCAUUAUGUGGGUUCACCUUUCCCAGAGGACACUCCUUUACCUUGUGUUGUAUACUGCCAUGGAAACAGUCUUCUACAUAUCCUUCGAUCGGUCGGCACUGUCUCUAUUCUUCGACCGGUGAAGAGUGAUG